Molecule: non-coding RNA, 73 nt
Organism: Candidatus Woesebacteria bacterium RBG_13_36_22
Lineage: Bacteria; Candidatus Woeseibacteriota
Source: Rfam
GGCCCCAUCGUCUAGCGGUCUAGGACAUUAGGUUCUCAUCCUAAAAACCUGGGUUCGAGUCCCAGCGGGGUCA